UAGGCGGCCAAGCGAAGAUUCCUGUGUGAUUGGGGAUAGGUAGGCGCAGUGAAGAGAGAUCGAAUCCCGACUUUUCGCUAGUUCCAUUACCUAUACUAUCACUUCUUUUUCGUAUAAGACUUGUACCUUACGUGAUAAGGGCCCCUGUCAGGUGCAGCUCAAGCGAUCGGCCCAGGCCCGGGUUGAGUAUCACAGCUCCCAAUGGGGGGGUUGGAAGACUCUGACCUCUUCAACUGAGCACACGCCCCCAGCGACGCGCAGAGCACUGAGAGACAGUCCGAUUACCGCAAAUCUCCAAACUGGUCGGUCAAAUGCAUCUCGAUUCUCCUCCAGGGGCUAACUGCUAUAACUAUGACGGAACCACUAGAGUAAUUAGUUUGAUUGGCCAACUGCACCUAAGAUGACUGAGAACAAGGCAGGGGAA
RNAcentral lists this long non-coding RNA (424 nucleotides) under Panax ginseng (ginseng). RNAcentral describes it as "long non-coding RNA (PGIN_LNC013650)". Lineage: Eukaryota; Viridiplantae; Streptophyta; Magnoliopsida; Apiales; Araliaceae. The record is from RNAcentral.